AAUAUUGAUAGUAUAACCUCGUACAGUUGCCUUCCAAGCAAAAAGACCUAAAGGUCAAUAU
Molecule: transfer RNA, 61 nt
Filed under: Unio delphinus
Lineage: Eukaryota; Metazoa; Mollusca; Bivalvia; Unionida; Unionidae
Description: tRNA-Gly
Source: RNAcentral